RNAcentral lists this ribosomal RNA (404 nucleotides) under uncultured bacterium. RNAcentral describes it as "bacterial SSU rRNA". It matches the Rfam family "Bacterial small subunit ribosomal RNA", at positions 355 to 776 of the family's 1533-position model. The record is from RNAcentral.
UAGGGAAUAUUAGAAAUGGACGAAAGUCUGAUCUAGCAACACCGCGUGUGCGAAGAAGGCCUUCGGGUUGUAAAGCACUUUUUGGAAGGAUUAGGAAGGAAUGUACUUCCAGAAUAAGUCUCGGCUAACUACGUGCCAGCAGCCGCGGUAACACGUAGGAGGCAAACGUUAUCCGGAUUUACUGGGCGUGAAGCGCGUGUAGGUGGUUCUGUAAGUAGGGCGUGAAAGCUCCUGGCUCAACUGGGAGAGGCCGUUCUAAACUGCAGAGCUAGAGGAUGGUAGAGGGAGGUGGAGUUCCGGGUGUAGCGGUGGAAUGCGCAGAUAUCCGGAGGAACACCAGUGGCGAAAGCGGCCUCCUGGACCAUUCCUGACACUCAGACGCGAAAGCUAGGGUAGCAAACGGG